ACCGGCAGCUCAAGUGGUGGCCAUUUUUAUUGGGCCUAAAGCGUUCGUAGCCGGUUUGAUAAGUCUCUGGUGAAAUCCCGCAGCUUAACUGUGGGACUUGCUGGAGAUACUAUUAGACUUGAGGUCGGGAGAGGUUAAGUGUACUCCCAGUGGAGGGGUGAGGUCCGAAAACCCUGGGGGGAAUACCCGUGGCGAAGGCCCCUAGGUGGAACGAAGCUACGGUUGGGCAACCACAGCGAGUGAAACGAGCGG
Molecule: ribosomal RNA, 252 nt
Filed under: uncultured prokaryote
Description: partial 16S rRNA
Rfam family: Archaeal small subunit ribosomal RNA
Source: RNAcentral